GCCCCGUAAUCGGAAUGAGUACACUUUAAAUCCUUUAACAAGGAUCCAUUGGAGGGCAAGUCUGGUGCCAGCAGCCGCGGUAAUUCCAGCUCCAAUAGCGUAUAUUAAAGUUGUUGCGGUUAAAAAGCUCGUAGUUGGUUCUGCGUGCCGCGCUGUCGGUUCGCCGCCUGUCGGUGUAACUGGCAUGUCGCGGCAUGUCCUGUCGGUGGUGAACGGAGUCCACGACGCUACAUGGGCUUUAUAGUCGAUGUUAGCAUCGUGUGUACUUCCGUUGGCCGAUCUCUCCUACUUCGGUGCUCUUAAACGAGUGUCGAGGUAGGCCGACACGUUCACUUUGAACAAAUUAGAGUGCUUAAAGCAGGCUGAAAUAUCUGCCUGAAUAGUGGUGCAUGGAAUGAUAAAACAGGACCUCGGUUCUAUUUUGUUGGUUUUAGGAAUAUGAGGUAAUGAUCAAUGUGGACUGGCGGGGGCAUUCGUAUUGCGACGUUAGAGGUGAAAUUCUUGGAUCGUCGCAAGACGCACUAGAGCGAAAGCAUUUGCCAAGUAUGUCUUAAUUGAUCAAGAACGAAAGUUAGAGGUUCGAAGGCGAUCAGAUACCGCCCUAGUUCUAACCAUAAACGAUGCCAGCCAGCGAUCCGCCGAUGUUCCUUUAAUGACUCGGCGGGGAGCUUCCACCCGGGAAACCAAAGCUUUU
This 694-nucleotide ribosomal RNA is filed under the name Triatoma rubrovaria. RNAcentral describes it as "SSU rRNA". It matches the Rfam family "Eukaryotic small subunit ribosomal RNA", at positions 500 to 1108 of the family's 1831-position model. The record is from RNAcentral. Lineage: Eukaryota; Metazoa; Arthropoda; Insecta; Hemiptera; Reduviidae.